RNAcentral lists this ribosomal RNA (395 nucleotides) under uncultured bacterium. RNAcentral's name for it is "partial 16S ribosomal RNA". It matches the Rfam family "Bacterial small subunit ribosomal RNA", at positions 523 to 918 of the family's 1533-position model. The record is from RNAcentral.
AUACGUAGGGUGCAAGCGUUAAUCGGAAUUACUGGGCGUAAAGCGUGCGCAGGCGGUUUUGUUAGAACGAGGUGAAAUCCCCGGGCUCAACCUGGGGACUGCCUUUGUGUCUGCCAGGCUUGAGUACGGCAGAGGGGGAUGGAAUUUCGCGUGUAGUAGUGAUAUGCGUAGAUAUGCGUUGGAACACCGAUGGCUAAGGCAAUCCCCGGGUCCUGUACUGACGCACAUGCACUAAAACGUGGGUAGCAAACCGGAUUAGAUUCCCUGGUAGUCCACGCCCUAAACGAUGUCAACUUGUUGUUGGGUCUUCAUUGACUCAAUAACGAAGCUAACACGUGAGGUUGACCCCCUGGGGAGUACGGCCGCAAGGUGGAAACUCAAAUAAAUUUGCGUGG